Non-coding RNA from Elaeis guineensis (African oil palm), 2947 nucleotides. The record is from RefSeq and is a predicted model, not a curated record. NCBI's taxonomy places the organism in Eukaryota, Viridiplantae, Streptophyta, Magnoliopsida, Arecales, Arecaceae.
CUGUUGGUGCUCUCCUCUGGGUGUAUAAAUACCCGGAAACCGGGGCGGUUUGAUAGCUAUAGGUACGCUGCUUCCCAUUCGCUUCCCAUUCCCGGGACUAAAAAGGAAAAUCCCACCCCAUAAAUAAAACACCCCGAAAAGUCCCCCCAAACCUUCACUCCCUUAUAUCAGAGCAAAGUACUACUCCCGCUCCAAAGUCUCAGACACCUCCAUUCCUGCCAUUCCACUACUCGUACCUCGCCGAAUUCCCCACCGCAUGCCACUGCCCCAACCGCCGAUACCACCACCACCACCGUAUCCGGCGGCGGAGAAGUAAGAAAAAGCAGGGCGGGGCGAUGAUCACGUGGCAGGACCUGUACACGGUGCUGACGGCGGUGGUGCCGCUGUACGUGGCGAUGAUCCUGGCCUACGGGUCGGUGCGGUGGUGGGGGAUCUUCUCCCCCGACCAGUGCUCCGGCAUCAACCGUUUCGUCGCCAUCUUCGCCGUUCCCCUCCUCUCCUUCCACUUCAUCUCCACCAACAACCCCUACGCCAUGAACUUCCGCUUCAUCGCCGCCGACACCCUCCAGAAGCUCAUCGUCCUCGCCGCCCUCGCCGCCUGGGCCCGCCUCUCCUCCCGCGGCUCCCUCGACUGGGCCAUCACCGUCUUCUCCCUCGCCACCCUCCCCAACACCCUCGUCAUGGGCAUCCCCCUCCUCAUCGCCAUGUACGGCGCCUUCUCCGGCUCCCUCAUGGUCCAGAUCGUUGUUCUCCAGUGUAUCAUCUGGUACACCCUCCUCCUCUUCCUCUUCGAGUAUCGCGCCGCCCGCCUCCUCAUCGCCGACCAGUUCCCCGACACCGCCGCCUCCAUCGUCUCCUUCCGCGUCGACUCCGACAUCGUCUCCCUCGACGGCGGCCGCGACCUCCUCCAGACCGACGCUGAGGUCGGCGGCGACGGCAAGAUCCACGUCACCGUCCGCCGCUCCAACGCCUCCCGUCGCUCCUUCUCCAUGGCCAUGACCCCGCGCCCCUCCAACCUCACCGGCGCCGAGAUCUACUCCCUGAGCUCCUCCCGGAAUCCUACUCCUAGGGGUUCCAACUUUAACCACUCCGACUUCUUCGCCAUGGUCGGCGGUGCUCCGCCCCCUCUCCGCCCCUCCAACUUUGGCCCCGCCGACCUCUACUCCCUCCAGUCCUCCCGCGGCCCCACCCCCCGCCCCUCCAACUUCGACGAUGGUGCCACCGCCGUCGGAUCGCCACGCUUCGGGCAUUACCCCGCACCCAACCCCGAAAUCUCCUCCGCCUCCGGCGCCGCCGCAAAGAAAAACAACGCCACCAAUCCGACCCCUCCAGCGGCCGCUGCUCCGCCGCAGCAGCAGCAGAACGGGGCGGCACAACAUGACGCGAAGGAGCUCCACAUGUUCGUGUGGAGCUCGAGCGCGUCGCCGGUGUCGGAGGUCGGCGGUCUGCACGUGUUCGGCGGCGCGGACUUCGCCGCGACGGACCUCGCCGGCCUGCCAGACAACGGUGGCGCCAAGGAGAUCCGGAUGCUCGUUCCCGCCGAUCUCCCCCAACACGGCGGAACCAAAGGAGCAGUAAUACCGGAGGGUGCGGACUACGGAGGUGGGCGAGAAGAUUUUAGCUUCGGAGGAGGAAAGGGAUUAGAAGAUUUGGGGGCGAAAGACACGGAAAACGGCCCGGAGGGGGUACCGAAGCUUGGGUCGAGUUCGACGGUGGAGCUCCACCUGAAAGGCGGCGGGCCGCCGGACAGCGGCAAGCACACCGACCAUCAGAUGCCUCCGACGAGCGUCAUGACCCGUCUGAUCCUCAUCAUGGUGUGGCGCAAGCUGAUCCGCAACCCCAACACCUACUCCAGCCUCAUCGGCCUCAUCUGGUCCCUCGUCGCCUUCCGGUGGCACGUGUCCAUGCCAAAAAUAAUAGAGAAGUCGAUCUCUAUACUAUCCGACGCCGGGCUGGGGAUGGCUAUGUUUAGCUUAGGGUUGUUCAUGGCGCUGCAGCCGAAGAUCAUCGCGUGCGGGAACUCGGUGGCGACGUUCGCGAUGGCCGUCCGAUUCCUCACCGGUCCGGCGGUCAUGGCCGCCGCCUCCAUCGCCGUCGGCCUCCGCGGCGUCCUCCUCCACGUGGCCAUCGUACAGGUACAUUUCGAAACUCCCAAGUCUGACAGACGCGUGUGGUAUACGUGUCGAAUUCGCAGUGGGCAAGAAGGGGUCAGUAGAUUUGAUAGGAAUGGAACGAACAGCUGCCGGACAGGGACUGGGCGGGCCGUCGCUUCGCCGCUGCCGUCAGAUCACGAUCUGACAGCCGUGACAGGGGGAUCUCUGAAUUGAUGACGUUAAUAUAGCGUACUGUUCUCUCGUACUUAAACCGAAUUUUGGCGCAUGGUUUGUGUUGUUACAGGCGGCCCUUCCCCAAGGCAUCGUCCCCUUCGUGUUCGCCAAGGAGUAUAACGUCCAUCCCGCUAUCCUAAGCACCGGAGUUAUUUUUGGAAUGCUGAUAGCUCUUCCAAUUACAUUGGUCUAUUACAUUAUCCUGGGAUUAUGACUCCGUUUAAAACGAGGCGAAGGUCAUAUUUGCUAUAAUGGAAGAGGAUGGAAAUCCGUGAUGAAAUAUCGCUCACCAGCGAAUAGUGGGUCCUACGACACCGCAUGAAGAAGCGAAUUUUCCAGCAAAAGAGAAGCCCGAAAUAUUCGUUUUGUAAAAGGAAAAUAGAAAGGCUUCUAUCUUUUCUUUCUUUUUAUUUUAAAAAAUUCGCCUUCUGCGAUCGGUGUUCGACACUGGAGGAUUAACUUUCUUUCUUUUUUUUCCUCUCUUAAAACUUUUUUACUUUUUCUUUGUAUUUCUUCUGUGGUGAAAAGGAGUCUUUCUCAAAAGGGGAAAGGUUUUGUUUGGCAUCAAAUACGAACACAACAACCAUCCUUUAUAAAAAUCAUGAAAAAAAUACGGAAAA